CAGCAGCCACGGGAAUACGAAGGGUGCAAGCGUUAAUCGGAAUUACUGGGCGUAAAGCGUGCGUAGGCGGUGAGUUAAGUCUGCUGUGAAAUCCCCGGGCUCAACCUGGGAAUGGCAGUGGAUACUGGCUCGCUAGAGUGUGUCAGAGGAUGGUGGAAUUCCCGGUGUAGCGGUGAAAUGCGUAGAGAUCGGGAGGAACAUCAGUGGCGAAGGCGGCCAUCUGGGACAACACUGACGCUGAGGCACGAAAGCGUGGGGAGCAAACAGGAUUAGAUACCCGGGUAGUCCCUGUCUCUUAUAA
This 301-nucleotide ribosomal RNA is filed under the name uncultured bacterium. Its description in RNAcentral is "partial 16S ribosomal RNA". It matches the Rfam family "Bacterial small subunit ribosomal RNA", at positions 509 to 809 of the family's 1533-position model. The record is from RNAcentral.